Long non-coding RNA from Melospiza georgiana, 225 nucleotides. RefSeq lists it as uncharacterized. NCBI's taxonomy places the organism in Eukaryota, Metazoa, Chordata, Aves, Passeriformes, Passerellidae. The transcript has 3 exons. The record is from RefSeq and is a predicted model, not a curated record.
GCCCCCACCCCCCCGAGGGCCCGCGCCGCCUUCCUGCUGCACUGCCUGCUCAGGGAGCACCCCCGCCUCAAAGCCCCCCUGGUGCAGCAGGGCCUGGUGCCUCGGGCGGCGGCGCUGCUGCGCUUCGAGCACGACGGGGUCCACGAGCACGGCCUGGGGGUCCUCUGCAGCCUGCCCUCAGGCUGCUCCGAGGGGCUGCGGGAGUGCCGGGACCCCGUUUUGGGG